AUGGCGUCGAGGGAUCCGCUGAUCGUGGGGAGGAUCGUCCGCGACGUGGUCGAUUACUUCGACAUGGCGGCGCAGCUCAGGGUGCUUUACAACAACCGCGAGAUCACCAACGGGUUCGAGCUGAGGCCGUCGCAGGUGGAGAACCAGCCGACGGUGCGGAUCACUGGACGCCGCGGAUCAUUCUACACGCUGGUGAUGGUCGACCCUGAUGUACCCAGCCCAACCAACCCUUCCCAACGGGAGUACCUCCAUUGGAUGGUGACAGACAUACCAGACGGAGGUGACGUGAGCCGUGGAACUGAGGUGGUGGCGUACGAGAAGCCGCAGCCGACGGCGGGGAUCCACCGCGUGGCAUUCGUGGUGUUCCGGCAGACGGUGCGGCAGGCCAUCUACGCGCCAGGGUGGCGCUCCAACUUCAUCACCAGGGAUCUGGCCGAGUGCUACGGCCUCGGCGCUCCGGUCGCCGCCGCCUACUUCAACUGCCAGAGGGAGGGUAGCUGCGGUGGCCGGAGGUACCGGUGA
Molecule: ribosomal RNA, 522 nt
Filed under: Triticum aestivum (bread wheat)
Lineage: Eukaryota; Viridiplantae; Streptophyta; Magnoliopsida; Poales; Poaceae
Description: partial small subunit ribosomal RNA
Source: RNAcentral